UACGGUGGGGGCAAGCGUUGUUCGGAAUUACUGGGCGUAAAGGGCGCGUAGGCGGCCUGCUAAGUCGGAUGUGAAAUCCCUCGGCUCAACCGAGGAACUGCAUCCGAUACUGGCGGGCUUGAAUCCGGGAGAGGGAUGUGGAAUUCCAGGUGUAGCGGUGAAAUGCGCAGAUAUCAGGAGGAACACCGAUUGCGAAGGCAGCUCGCUGGAACGUUACUGACGCUGAGACGCGAAAGCGAGGGGAGCAAACAGG
Molecule: ribosomal RNA, 253 nt
Filed under: uncultured bacterium
Lineage: Bacteria
Description: partial 16S ribosomal RNA
Rfam family: Bacterial small subunit ribosomal RNA
Source: RNAcentral